Molecule: long non-coding RNA, 858 nt
Organism: Daucus carota subsp. sativus
Lineage: Eukaryota; Viridiplantae; Streptophyta; Magnoliopsida; Apiales; Apiaceae
Exons: 3
Source: RefSeq, a predicted model, not a curated record
ACUUUACCCCGUGAACGAAACAGUUAGACAAAAAUAUUUGAAGGACUCAGCUCUCUGCCUCUCUCUCUCUACUCUCAACUCUUUCUCGAUUUACUCUCUCGAGAACAAACCUGAAGGACGAAGUGAAGGAUAAAUUUAAGAUUUGGUAUUUGAAUACACAUGUCUUUGGCUCCAAUUAGUAGGCUUUUACCGAUUUUGUUUUAAUUUUGCAGGUGAUUAGGGCUUCAGAUCGGGGCUUUUACUCUUUCACUCAGGUUAAUUGGCACAGGUCUGUUUUGUUUUGUUGGAAACCUGCAAGUAAUACAUUUUGAGAAUUAUGGGAAGCUAUUUGAGAAGGAUUUGGAUGUUUCAGUAUAUAUUGAGGAGCACAUGCGUUUAACCUACUAUUUAUCCAAAAUAAGCCACAGGUUCAGGAUAAUAAUUCUUCUUGAGUUUUUAGUUGUGACAGCUAGCCAAUUUAUGGCUCUUUUGCACACGACAGGAGAUAACGGAGUCCUCAACUUCAUUAACGCUGGUGACUUUGUUAUAACAACAUUUGGUUGCUCUUUGGCCAAACAUCGCAAAUGGUGUUAUUCAGAUAAAAGGCUGAGAGAACCUAUUCCUCGCAAUGGCAGAAAAGAGCCGAUCAGCCUAGCACAGAAGACAGAAGACAAUGUAUGGUCCGAAUGAUGAAGUAGCAAUGAAUGACUUAGCACCCAACACUGACAUGUAUACUUUACAAUUGAUUUUUGAUGUUCCGGUUUAAAAUUAUGAUAGAGUUGCUUUGUAGUUUGAUGGCUUGUUUAGGAAGGGAUUUAAGAAUGUACAAGACUGAUAUUGCAAAAUUUUUAUAAAAAUUGUUGCAUUUUACUUUUUCCA